UACAGAGGGUGCGAGCGUUAAUCGGAAUUACUGGGCGUAAAGGGCGCGUAGGCGGUUUAUCAAGUGAGAUGUGAAAUCCCCGGGCUUAACCUGGGAACUGCAUCUUAAACUGAUGAGCUGGAGUACUGUAGAGGAUAGUGGAAUUUCCGGUGUAGCGGUGAAAUGCGUAGAGAUCGGAAGGAACAUCAGUGGCGAAGGCGACUGUCUGGACAGAUACUGACGCUGAGGCGCGAAAGCGUGGGGAGCAAACGGG
RNAcentral lists this ribosomal RNA (253 nucleotides) under uncultured bacterium. RNAcentral's name for it is "partial 16S ribosomal RNA". It matches the Rfam family "Bacterial small subunit ribosomal RNA", at positions 524 to 776 of the family's 1533-position model. The record is from RNAcentral.